This 405-nucleotide ribosomal RNA is filed under the name uncultured bacterium. RNAcentral's name for it is "bacterial SSU rRNA". It matches the Rfam family "Bacterial small subunit ribosomal RNA", at positions 355 to 776 of the family's 1533-position model. The record is from RNAcentral.
UAAGGAAUCUUCCACAAUGGGGGCAACCCUGAUGGAGCAACGCCGCGUGCAGGAUGAAGGCCUUAGGGUUGUAAACUGCUUUUAUUAGCGAAGAAUAUGACGGUAACUAAUGAAUAAGGGUCGGCUAACUACGUGCCAGCAGCCGCGGUCAUACGUAGGACCCAAGCGUUAUCCGGAGUGACUGGGCGUAAAGAGUUGCGUAGGCGGUGAUUUAAGCGAGGAGUGAAAUAUGAUGGCUCAACCAUCAAGACAUUUCUCGAACUGAAUUACUCGAGUAUGGUAGAGGUAGCUGGAAUUUCUAGUGUAGGAGUGAAAUCCGUAGAUAUUAGAAGGAACACCAAUGGCGUAGGCAGGCUACUGGACCAUUACUGACGCUGAGGCACGAAAGCGUGGGGAGCGAACCGG